This 240-nucleotide ribosomal RNA is filed under the name uncultured bacterium. RNAcentral describes it as "partial 16S ribosomal RNA". It matches the Rfam family "Bacterial small subunit ribosomal RNA", at positions 524 to 763 of the family's 1533-position model. The record is from RNAcentral.
UACAGAGGGUGCAAGCGUUAAUCGGAGUUACUGGGCGUAAAGCGCACGUAGGCGGCUCUUUAAGUCGGAGGUGAAAUCCUGGAGCUCAACUCCAGAACUGCCUUCGAUACUGAAGAGCUCGAGUCCGGGAGAGGUGAGUGGAACUGCGAGUGUAGAGGUGAAAUUCGUAGAUAUUCGCAAGAACACCAGUGGCGAAGGCGGCUCACUGGCCCGGUACUGACGCUGAGGUGCGAAAGCGUG